RNAcentral lists this ribosomal RNA (803 nucleotides) under uncultured bacterium. Its description in RNAcentral is "bacterial SSU rRNA". The stretch from base 1 to 497 matches the Rfam family "Bacterial small subunit ribosomal RNA", at positions 1028 to 1533 of the family's 1533-position model. The record is from RNAcentral.
UUAAACAGUGGUGACAGCUGAUGUGAGAUUGGNUCNGGGGUAUGCGCAACGAGCGCAACCCCUGUCUCUAGUUGCCAGCGCGUCAAGGCGGGGACUCUAGAGAGACUGCCGGUGCCAAACCGGAGGAAGGUGGGGAUGACGUCAAGUCAUCAUGGUCCUUACGUCUAGGGCUACACACGUGCUACAAUGGCGGGGACAGAGGGUCGCGAGCCGGCAACGGCAAGCCAAUCCCGUAAACCCCGCCUCAGUUCGGAUUGUCGUCUGCAACCCGACGGCAUGAAGCUGGAAUCGCUAGUAAUCGUGGAUCAGCUACGCCACGGUGAAUACGUUCCCGGGCCUUGUACACACCGCCCGUCACGCCAUGGAAGCUGUGAGCGCCCGAAGUCCGUGUCGGAACCUGUGCAAACAGGGCCAAGCGGCCGAAGGCGAGCGCAGUGACUGGGGCGAAGUCGUAACAAGGUAGCCGUAGGGGAACCUGCGGCUGGAUCACCUCCUUAACGGAUCGCUAGUAACCUUUCGAGCGCGAGCUCGUGAAGGGGAACGCAUCUCGUAGUCGCUUCGCUUCGACACAUACUGUCCAUCCACUCUCGAUUGUUGACCCCGUUGGGCNUUCGGGGCCAUGAAGGGGUCAUNCGCCCUGGUAUGGAACAAACCGGGGAUUGUUAUUGGGGUUAAGAAAUUCCGUUGGGGGGGAAAUUUGGAAAUUGGAAAAUUUCCCCAUUUUUAAUUUUGGGCAAGAAAUUGAAACCUUUUUUUUUCCGGCCUAAAGAAAAAAACCCGUUUCANCUCCGUUUAAAGAAAAA